RNAcentral lists this ribosomal RNA (253 nucleotides) under uncultured bacterium. RNAcentral describes it as "partial 16S ribosomal RNA". It matches the Rfam family "Bacterial small subunit ribosomal RNA", at positions 524 to 776 of the family's 1533-position model. The record is from RNAcentral.
UACGUAGGGGGCUAGCGUUGUCCGGAAUCAUUGGGCGUAAAGAGCGUGUAGGCGGCUCGAUAAGUCCGCUGUGAAAGUCCAGGGCUCAACCCUGGGAUGCCGGUGGAUACUGUCGGGCUCGAGUCCGGAAGAGGCGAGUGGAAUUCCUGGUGUAGCGGUGAAAUGCGCAGAUAUCAGGAGGAACACCAAUGGCGAAGGCAGCUCGCUGGGACGUGACUGACGCUGAGACGCGAAAGCCAGGGGAGCAAACGGG